GACGAACGCUGGCGGCGUGCCUAAUACAUGCAAGUAGAACGCUGAGGUUUGGUGCUUACACUAGACUGAUGAGUUGCGAACGGGUGAGUAACGCGUAGGUAACCUGCCUCAUAGCGGGGGAUAACUAUUGGAAACGAUAGCUAAUACCGCAUAAGAGUAAUUAACACAUGUUGGUUAUUUAAAAGGAGCAAUUGCUUCACUGUGAGAUGGACCUGCGUUGUAUUAGCUAGUUGGUGAGGUAAAGGCUCACCAAGGCGACGAUACAUAGCCGACCUGAGAGGGUGAUCGGCCACACUGGGACUGAGACACGGCCCAGACUCCUACGGGAGGCAGCAGUAGGGAAUCUUCGGCAAUGGACGGAAGUCUGACCGAGCAACGCCGCAUGAGUGAAGAAGGUUUUCGGAUCGUAAAGCUCUGUUGUUAGAGAAGAACGUUGGUAGGAGUGGAAAAUCUACCAAGUGACGGUAACUAACCAGAAAGGGACGGCUAACUACGUGCCAGCAGCCGCGGUAAUACGUAGGUCCCGAGCGUUGUCCGGAUUUAUUGGGCGUAAAGCGAGCGCAGGCGGUUCUUUAAGUCUGAAGUUAAGGGCAGUGGCUUAACCAUUGUACGCUUUGGAAACUGGAGGACUUGAGUGCAGAAGGGGAGAGUGGAAUUCCAUGUGUAGCGGUGAAAUGCGUAGAUAUAUGGAGGAACACCGGUGGCGAAAGCGGCUCUCUGGUCUGUAACUGACGCUGAGGCUCGAAAGCGUGGGGAGCAAACAGGAUUAGAUACCCUGGUAGUCCACGCCGUAAACGAUGAGUGCUAGGUGUUAGGCCCUUUCCGGGGCUUAGUGCCGCAGCUAACGCAUUAAGCACUCCGCCUGGGGAGUACGACCGCAAGGUUGAAACUCAAAGGAAUUGACGGGGGCCCGCACAAGCGGUGGAGCAUGUGGUUUAAUUCGAGGCAACGCGAAGAACCUUACCAGGUCUUGACAUCCUUCUGACCGGCCUAGAGAUAGGCUUUCUCUUCGGAGCAGAAGUGACAGGUGGUGCAUGGUUGUCGUCAGCUCGUGUCGUGAGAUGUUGGGUUAAGUCCCGCAACGAGCGCAACCCCUAUUGUUAGUUGCCAUCAUUAAGCUGGGCACUCUAGCGAGACUGCCGGUAAUAAACCGGAGGAAGGUGGGGAUGACGUCAAAUCAUCAUGCCCCUUAUGACCUGGGCUACACACGUGCUACAAUGGUUGGUACAACGAGUCGCAAGCCGGUGACGGCAAGCUAAUCUCUUAAAGCCAAUCUCAGUUCGGAUUGUAGGCUGCAACUCGCCUACAUGAAGUCGGAAUCGCUAGUAAUCGCGGAUCAGCACGCCGCGGUGAAUACGUUCCCGGGCCU
Molecule: ribosomal RNA, 1369 nt
Filed under: uncultured bacterium
Lineage: Bacteria
Description: bacterial SSU rRNA
Rfam family: Bacterial small subunit ribosomal RNA
Source: RNAcentral